Molecule: long non-coding RNA, 1920 nt
Filed under: Monodelphis domestica (gray short-tailed opossum)
Lineage: Eukaryota; Metazoa; Chordata; Mammalia; Didelphimorphia; Didelphidae
Description: lncRNA (ENSMODG00000048214.1)
Source: RNAcentral
GCUGAGAAACAAAACUUGGGGGCGGUGCAGCAGCGCGGGGCUGGGCCCAACCGGGCUGAGGGAGGAGCAGAGGAAGGGGGAAGGGGGAGCAGGGGGGGAGACUGGAGGGGGAGGAGGGAGGGGCCGGCGCCGGCUUUAGCUGCGGCGACGGCGGCAGAGGAGGAGGCCCGGGCCGGGCGGGCAGAUCGGAGCGUCUGGGCCAUCCGGGCCCAGCGCAGCCCAGCGCGGCGGAGCCAUGAAACCUUCUAUGAUGCUACGUGGAAGACUCCAAAAGGUAUCUCUUAUCUACCUUGGCAGAAGGGAAGGGAACUAGCAUUUAUUCAGCACCUACUAUGUGCCAGGCACUGUGCUAAGACCUUUACAAGAAUUUUCUCAUUUUUCAAUGCUAUUAUUAGUGCCAUUUUACAGUUGAAGUUAUUAAAAUUUGAGGAGACCUGAAGACCAGUUGAUUGACAUGUCCAGGGUCACACAGCUAGGACGGGUCCAAGGCCAAAUUUGAACUCGGGUCUUCCUGAUUCUAGGACCAGAGGUCUAAUUGCUGUGCCGCCAGUUUCCUCAUCUUAGAAUGCCCAUUACCAAUGAAAUGAUCUCUAGCCUAUUUCGCUUCUAUCAGUUCUCCUGUUCCUCCAACUUGGCCCCUCAGCCCCCUGUUAGACGUCGUCCUAGGGCACUUCCUUGGCUUUGGGUCUGAAAAAAGAGCUUGGGUAGAAAUUGUGUCUGGAGCUGAAGAUCUUAGCCAUGGAAUGGGAGUUGGGGGUCAGUUAAUGACAAUAAGAGACUUGGGUUCUAGUUCUGGUUUUGCCACUCACUAGUUAUAAGAAAUUGGACAAAUCACUCCUUGUCUCUGAUCCUCAAGCUAUCUCCUCUGUACAAAUGAACUAAGGUGUUUAAAUCAGAGUGGCACAUUAGAGGGCCCUUAGUCUCGACCCUCCCCCCAUUUUAUAGAUGGGUAAACUGAGGCCCAAGGGGGGCAGUGGAUAUUGGAUAGGGUAGUCAGGAAGACCCAAGUUCAAAUUUGGCCUCACAUACUUGUUAGCUGUGUGAUUCUAGGCAAGUCAUUUAACCCUGAUUGCCUCAGUUCCUUAUCUGUAAAAUGAGCUGGAGAAGGAUAUGGCAAAGCACUCCAGUAUCUCUGCCAAGGAAACCCCAAAACAGAGUCACCGAAGAGGCUGAAAUGAAUGAACAGCAAUGAGCUGAGGCCCAGAGAGGCGAAGAGACUUGCUUUUAUCUGGUUUGGGUGCUCAUCUGUUUCACACUGAUAGUAACUGAGUGAAGUAUUCCAAAGGAGGAUUCCUUCCACUAGCCCAGGCUAUCUCGAGAUGAUCUCUGAAGGCCCUGCCAAACCCAACAGUCUUUGGCAGCUCAUCUGUGGCCCAACCAAGGUCCUGGAAUUAGGAAGUGGUGACUUCGAAUCCAGCCUCAGACAUUUCCUAGCUGUGUGAGCCUGGGCAAGUCAUGUGUUUCCUUAACUGUAAAAUGGGGAUAAUAGUACCUCCUUUGAAGGGAUGUCUUAAUUAGAACAGUGACUGGCAGGUAGUUGGGGCUAUAUAAAUGCUUAUUCUUUCUCCUUCUCUAGAGAUCAUGUUCCAGUUUCCAGAUUUAUUAACUUUGUGAUCAUUGUUAUUGCGGAGUCUUUUCAGUCUUGUCCAACUCUUCAUCCCUUUUGGGAUAUCCCUUUGGGAUAUUACUGGGAGUGGUUAGGAGUACAGCUGGAGGGCUCGAUGGAUUGAGUACCUAUUUGCAAAAGGUCCUGGGUUCUAAUCUGGUCUCAGACACUUCAUAAGUGUAUGAUCCUGGGCAAGUCACUUAGUCCCCAUUGCCUAGCCCUUGUGCUUUUCUGCUUGGAACCAAAACAAGUUAUUGAUUCUAAAAUGGAAAGUAGGGAUUUAAAAAAUAAAAGGAUACUGGAGUGGUUUGCCA